RNAcentral lists this ribosomal RNA (665 nucleotides) under uncultured Pseudomonadota bacterium. RNAcentral's name for it is "bacterial SSU rRNA". It matches the Rfam family "Bacterial small subunit ribosomal RNA", at positions 84 to 744 of the family's 1533-position model. The record is from RNAcentral. Lineage: Bacteria; Pseudomonadati; Pseudomonadota.
UAACUGAGCUAGCGGCGGACGGGUGAGUAAGUGCUUAGGAAUCUGCCUAUUAGUGGGGGACAACAUUCCGAAAGGAAUGCUAAUACCGCAUACGCCCUACGGGGGAAAGCAGGGGAUCUUCGGACCUUGCGCUAAUAGAUGAGCCUAAGUCAGAUUAGCUAGUUGGUGGGGUAAGGGCCUACCAAGGCGACGAUCUGUAGCGGGUCUGAGAGGAUGAUCCGCCACACUGGGACUGAGACACGGCCCAGACUCCUACGGGAGGCAGCAGUGGGGAAUAUUGGACAAUGGGCGCAAGCCUGAUCCAGCCAUGCCGCGUGUGUGAAGAAGGCCUUUUGGUUGUAAAGCACUUUAAGCGAGGAGGAGGCUACUUGGAUUAAUACUCUAGGAUAGUGGACGUUACUCGCAGAAUAAGCACCGGCUAACUCUGUGCCAGCAGCCGCGGUAAUACAGAGGGUGCGAGCGUUAAUCGGAUUUACUGGGCGUAAAGCGUGCGUAGGCGGCUUCUUAAGUCGGAUGUGAAAUCCCUGAGCUUAACUUAGGAAUUGCAUUCGAUACUGGGAAGCUAGAGUAUGGGAGAGGAUGGUAGAAUUCCAGGUGUAGCGGUGAAAUGCGUAGAGAUCUGGAGGAUACCGAUGGCGAAGGCAGCCAUCUGGCCUAAUACUGAC